UACUGUGUUUUGAUUGUACCAGAUGAGUACUAAUAAAGCUUCGGCUUGAAAACCUUACUUGUGAGCUAGGUUUGGUAGCGGAAAUGCUGCUAGAUCUACUUGCUAAUGAUAAUGCUAAUACAUCAAAAUGAUAAAUCGCAUGCAGACGACAUGAAAUGGACGGGGUAUUGUAAGUACUAGAGUAGCCUUUGUUGCUACGAUGUACUGAGAUUAAGCCUUUGUCAUUGAAUUU
This 232-nucleotide non-coding RNA is filed under the name Mucor lusitanicus CBS 277.49. RNAcentral's name for it is "Mucor circinelloides f. lusitanicus CBS 277.49 Eukaryotic large subunit ribosomal RNA". It matches the Rfam family "Eukaryotic large subunit ribosomal RNA", at positions 3162 to 3399 of the family's 3401-position model. Lineage: Eukaryota; Fungi; Mucoromycota; Mucoromycetes; Mucorales; Mucoraceae. The record is from Rfam by way of RNAcentral.